UACGUAGGGCGCGAGCGUUGUCCGGAAUUAUUGGGCGUAAAGAGCUCGUAGGCGGUUUGUUGCGUCGGAUGUGAAAGCCCGGGGCUUAACCCCGGGUCUGCAUUCGAUACGGGCAGACUGGAGUGUGGUAGGGGAGAUCGGAAUUCCUGGUGUAGCGGUGAAAUGCGCAGAUAUCAGGAGGAACACCGGUGGCGAAGGCGGAUCUCUGGGCCAUUACUGACGCUGAGGAGCGAAAGCGUGGGGAGCGAACAGG
Molecule: ribosomal RNA, 253 nt
Filed under: uncultured bacterium
Lineage: Bacteria
Description: partial 16S ribosomal RNA
Rfam family: Bacterial small subunit ribosomal RNA
Source: RNAcentral